CCUACGGGUGGCAGCAGUGGGGAAUAUUGCACAAUGGGGGAAACCCUGAUGCAGCGACGCCGCGUGAGUGAAGAAGUAUUUCGGUAUGUAAAGCUCUAUCAGCAGGGAAGAAAUAGCGACCUUUGGGUCGCCAGACGGUACCUGAUUAAGAAGCCCCGGCUAACUACGGGCCAGCAGCCGCGGUAAUACGUAGGGGGCAAGCGUUAUCCGGAGUUAAUGGGUGUAAAGGGAGCGUAGACGGCAGCGCAAGUCUGAAGUGAAAAGCCGGGGCUUAACCCCGGAACUGCUGUGGAAACUGUGCAGCUAGAGUGCAGGAGAGGUAAGUGGAAUUCCUAGUGUAGCGGUGAAAUGCGUAGAUAUUAGGAUGAACACCAGUGGCGAAGGCAGCUUACUGGACUGUAACUGACGUUGAGGCUCGAAAGCGUGGGGAGCAAACAGGAUUAGAUACCCCGGUAGUC
Molecule: ribosomal RNA, 458 nt
Filed under: uncultured bacterium
Lineage: Bacteria
Description: partial 16S ribosomal RNA
Rfam family: Bacterial small subunit ribosomal RNA
Source: RNAcentral